GGAGUCGUCGCGCCUCGGCUGCGAGUCAGGACUGAGGCUGUCCCCCUCCCGCCUCCCUCAGGGGCCCUGGCGCGGGUGCCUCCAGGUUCCACCCCUCACCUGCCCCUUGGUGUCGGGCCGGGACCCUGGAGAGGUCGUGAGGGAGUCCUGGGCGCGGGCUCCGGGAGGCUGCGGCGCGGGUCUGAGGUAAACGGCCCGGCCGCUGCGGGCCCUUGCGGGGGCUGGUUCCAGCAGCAACCGCCGGGCAGGGCCCCUCCCGACCGCGACCUCCUGUCCGCACCGUAGGGCAGCCGGCCGGGCCAGCCUCCCUCACAGGACUACCGAGGAAGAGGUAGGAUUUCACUCUGUCACCCAGGCGGGAGUGCAGUGGUGCGAUCAUAGCGGGGACUACAAGUGUGCACCACAUGCUUGUCUACGAACCUGAAGUAUUCUGAUGCAGUGGAGAGAGUGUAGAACUCUGGAGUGAAGAGAUCUGCCUGGAACCCUGACUCUAUCACUAGCUUUGUCACUCCAAGAGAUGGCCCUGGGACUGAGAAGUGGAUGGCAGCUGUGACAGCAGGAGAGGACUGCCUGAGGCUCCCCGGGCAGAGGCUCUGGUGCCAGGUUAGCAGCAGGACCGACGGCAGACCCAGCAGCCAGAGAGUGAAAGGUGGGUAAAUUGAGGCCCAAGGAGAGGAAUGGACUUGCUGUGGACAUUCCAAGAGCCCAGAGGCAACUCAGGCCAAGGCCAACUUCUCAGCCCCCCUGGCCUGCUCCAUCCCGUCAACUCUCCCAGGAACUACCAGCACCCACCUAAGGGACACCAGCCGCCCUGUGAAAGGACAAGCCAGAGACCCCUGGAGCUCGGAUGUGGAAGGAUGUGGGGAGCUGCCUGGUCCUGUCUCCCACUGCCGCAGAGGGACAUGAGGGAUGGAGCAGGACUGGCAACCUGGAGAGGAAGUCACUCCUGGUCCUGAGCCCUGUUCAAAGGGCCAGGCUCCCCUCUACCCCAUUGUCCAUGUGACAGAGCUCAAACACACAGACCCCAACUUUCCCUCCAACUCCAAUGCUGUCGGCACCUCAAGUGGCUGGAACAGGAUUGGCACGGGCUGCAGCCAUACCUGGGACUGGAGGUUCUCCUGCACCCAGCAGGCCCUUUUGCCCCUACUAGGAGCCUGGGAAUGGAGCAUUGACACAGAAGCAGGAGGAGGAAGGAGAGAGCAGAGCCAGAAACCCUGCAGCAACGGAGGGCCUGCAGCAGCUGGAGAGGGCCGAGUCCUCCCAAGCCCCUGCUUUCCAUGGAGCACUUGCCAGGCAGCCAUUCACAAAGUGUGUCGUUGGCAGGGAUGCACCAGACCAGCUCUCCUGGCACCAUCCCUGGCCACACUCAAGGAACACAGUUAUCCCUGAUGCUCUUGGCCUCUCUCCCUGAGCAGUACUCACCAGGGCCCACCUGACUCACGAUAGCCCCUGCCCAACAGGUACAAGUGGAGCUGGUGCUGGCCCCGGGCUGCCUCCCACCCAGGUGCCUGGCCUGUGGCUCCAAGGUGGACUCCCAGGCCCAGCACCACCAGCAGCAGCAACAGGCGACUGUCCAGUGAGGCCCAGUGGGCCACUGAGGAGCCGCCUCUACCCAGGGAUCCUGCCUCCCACCACGGCCCUCUCUAGGGCAUCUGCAUUGAAGGAUGCCACAGCCUUCUGCCAAUCUGACCAUCCCAGGCUAGAAGGCUGAUGCAGCCCCAGACCACGCUCCAGAUUCAAGGGCCUUGCUGGGGGCAAACAAGGUGGAACAUAACACGUCUGCCAAAGUGAAGGAGGACUCCCCAGUCCCAUCACCCAGAGCCCUGCUGGUGGGGUCAAAUCAUCGGCGCCUGCCUCACGGGCUGGACUGGUGCCAUGCCAGCUGGGAUGCCCAGUUUGGGAGAAGCCUGACCAGGGCCUCUGUUUGGCAAGGCUUCCCUGGCAGCCCUGGGUACCUGCCUGUGUACCCCCGUUCUCAGGGUCUCCCCACCUUCUGUGCUGUGGGUCCCCAUGCUAAACAGCACUAGAUACCGAUAACCUUCUUGACUAUACUGAAGCCACCUUCCUGCUGCCCACCAGCCUCAGUGACAGCAACAGACCCCUCUGCCCAGGCCGGCCUCACACGGGGCUAAAGACACCCACGGCUCCUGCCAGCAGGGUCCACACAGGCCACCUCGCUGCCCGUCCUCUCCCUCAGCCCCUCCUUAAGCACUCCUGCAGGCUCUCCCAGCUGCUGCCAGCACAUCCCGGGUGAGGCUUGCCCGGACCCACAGGCAACCUGGGCCCCUGCCAAGCCAGAAUCCACUCUCAGCUGUGCCUUUCUCGGCCCUGAGCAAAGCAGAUCAGUGGAGUCAGAGGCACCUUUGGGGCAGACAGGGGAAGAGGAGUGCAUUCAUUGGGGAAAGGUUGGGAGCUACCCAGCCGUAGGCUGGCAAAUCAGCUCCUGGCCGGGGGCACCCUGACUUACAGGCUUUGCCUGAUUUCUGUGGUGUAAAUUCUCCCCUUGUGCCCAGUUUCAAGCUACUAAUGUGUCGUGGACCGUAACUGGGGAGCAACACAGAGUCAGCUGGCCACGAUGCCAGUCACUGCUGAGCUGCCAAACCUUACGCGUCCCAGGGGGCACCUGCCUAGAGGCCAGGCACUGCACUGGACCCUCAGACACAGCUUGUGCAGCCUGCUUAGGAGCUUGGGAAAUGACUGUCAUCUGUGAUCUUGCUGGUCCCAGGAAGCCCAUUUUACAGAUGAGGAAACUGAGGCCCAAAGGCACGAAGCGACCUCUCUCAGCCUCACCAAGAGCACUGGAAGGUGGUGUAGGGCUGCGGCCGUGCGCACAGAGAGCACAGCAGCAGGAAGGCUCCUGGGCCUCCAGCUCCCCUCCCUCAGAAGCCUCCCAGAGUGACAGGAAGGUCAGAGGCCCCGGGGAGGGGGCGGGGCCAGGAUCUGGCAAUUUCCUAUCCCUCUCUGUUGGCUCUGUGCAUCUAAUUACUCCUUGAGUCAUCUGUUGCUAACCAGGAGGGGAAAUUAAAUAUUAAUAAUGUAAUACUUCUCUGUGAUUACCCCUUGUUGGGGACAGAUCAGAGGGCAGAUGCUGCCCCAUACAGACAGGGGACACAUGCUGCGGAAUGUGCAUAAUGCCUCUUGAAAGAACCACCUUAUAGGAUUCCACGCGGUCAGACUCAAAACUGCUGCUGCUUCCUGCCUUCCUCCUCACCUCCCCCAACCUGGCCACUUUAAUUAAAACUCCAUUUAAUCAAAACCCACACAUCUUCUGGUUCCUCAUAUGUCGCACUAGCAAGGCCCUCUGUACACAUGCCCAGAUGGUGGCUAUACCCCCCAGAGCCUGCUGCACGGAGGUGCCCACCAGCUUCUAGGCAGUGACCUGCACAUCUGCUCCUGAGUGCGGCUAAGAGCAACAUACAGGACACAGUGCACGGACUCGGACCCGCUCCAGCCAUGCCUGGCCUGUUCCUGGGCUCCAGAAUCCCAGCCUUAGAACCCUCCUGCUGCUUUUCCAUAACAAAUGUUUACCAAGUACCUCCACCAGGCCUGGCAGCACCCCAACUGCUGGGCCAAAGGGAGGUGUGCCCCCGUUGCUGUGCCUGGCCCCAUCUGAGCAUAUGGCAGGGGACCUCAAAGGAGGAAAGGACCCAGGACAUUCCUGGGAGGCGGCUGCUGCCCUGCAGUUUCAGGCACUGCAGGCCACUCCCUGUCUCCACAACAUUGGCUCAGCUAAGAGGAGUCGCAAAUCAAUUUCAAAGCGCAAGAGGUAUAUGAAGGCUAAGAAAGGUAAGCAACAGAAUAAAAAACAUGGAGGUGAAUUCAUUCCAGUAGGAAGGAAGGUAAUACAGUAAUCUAAUAAUGAUUUCAGAGACCUUUAGAAUCUCCAAAGAGGCAAAGAAAGGAAUGGCAUCCGUAGACAAGAAUGAGAACUUCUGAACCGACUGGCGGAAAUGAAACAAGGACAGGUGGAUAUGAACAAGAAAUAAUACAAAAUCCAGGGACUGAAAAAUAGAAGGACUGAAGUAAGGGAUGUGGUGAGCUUCAGGCACACGUACAGUGGAAGAGACGACUGGGGAUCUGAAGCUAGUACUGAGGAAUUCUCCCAGAAACGCCAUGAAGAGACCUAGUCUAGGAGGAAACGGUUGAGAGGCAUGGGGUGGACUGAGAAGCAUCAACAAGUGGCUUGCGGGAGCUCGGCAGGGCACGGCAGGUUGUGGGCCCCACUAUGACUGGCUUUUGGGAUGGCCCAGGGGGGCCUGGGCAUGAACCUCCCAGAACCCAGGGCCCCAGGAUCCCCAUACCCCUUCCAAACUCAUCAGCGCAGGUGCCUUCCUCACUGCCCAGUGGUAAGCAGCCACCCAGCACGGGCUCCACUUCCCUCCUGACCUCCGGGGCUGCCCGGUGGCCCUUACUUCAGGCGCUGGGUGCAGGCUGGGCCCGGGACCCAGAGAUACACCUGGCAUCCCUCCCCCACAGCCCGGGUGCAGCUGCAGCUCUCUGCUCCUGGUGGCAGGAUGUGGGCAAGAUGGGGCCAAGACCCAGCUCCCUGCAGCUGGAGGCUAAGGCUCUGAGCCUGCCUCACAGAGCAGCCCCCACAUCGCAGCCCCGGGGCCAGUGCUGGGGGCCCCAGCUCCUGCUCCCCACACCCCCAUGUGUCCAGGCUAGGGGCCAGGAAGGCCACAGCACCCCCUCCUCCCCGCCUGGGGGCCACUCACCCCCUCACACGAGGCUUCACCUGACAGCCCUCCUCCGAGGGGCCGCACCCCGCACCAAGGUGCUGGGGGCCCACGCUGUGCUGAAAGCAGCUUGGCUGGGGGCGGCUCCUGCUCCAUGUCACAGUCCCUGAGGCCCAGGCAGAGCUUCCCCUCUGCACGCGGCUGCUCACAUGUACACAGGCUGUGGUGAGCCACGUCACGUCACGUGAAGGAUUGGCACCUGCACCUCCCUCAGAUGGCGGGCAACAGCUCCGGCAGCCUCUCCACCAGGUGACGGCCGAUGCCAGAGACCAGGGCUGCAGCGGCACAUCCGAGGAGUGGGCACAGAAGAGCAGCAGCAGCCCCUGCCCAGUGACUCCUGGAACAAGCUUCCCCUGCGGGGUGUUGGCGGGGGGUGGUGAGAGAAUCCCCAUGGCAACUCACAGAAACAUCAUCUGGGUGAGACUUGGAGGAGAAGGUGAAGGGAGAGAGGUAUCGAGAGAUUCUAGCAGAGAAAAUGCCCGAAGCCAGGGUCCUGC
RNAcentral lists this long non-coding RNA (5233 nucleotides) under Homo sapiens (human). RNAcentral's name for it is "non-protein coding ADORA2A-AS1:8". The record is from RNAcentral. Lineage: Eukaryota; Metazoa; Chordata; Mammalia; Primates; Hominidae.